Tympanuchus pallidicinctus (lesser prairie-chicken) is the source of this 278-nucleotide long non-coding RNA. RefSeq lists it as uncharacterized. NCBI's taxonomy places the organism in Eukaryota, Metazoa, Chordata, Aves, Galliformes, Phasianidae. The record is from RefSeq and is a predicted model, not a curated record. The transcript has 3 exons.
CCACUAUGUCCCCAAAUGUCCCAGUAUGUCCCCAAAUGUCCCAGUAUGUCCCCAAGUGUCCCAGUGUGCACCCAGAGCGUCCCAGUAUGUCCCCAAAUGUCCCAGUAUGUCCCCAAAGCAUCCCAGUAUGUCCCCAAGUGUCCCAGUAUGUCCCCAAGUGUCCCAGUGUGCACCCAGAGUGUCCCAGUAUGUCCCCAAGUCAUCCCAGUAUGUCCCCAAGUGUCCCAGUGUGCACCCAGAGCAUCCCAGUAUGUCCCCAAGUGUCCCAGUACACAACC